UACGUGGGGAGCAAGCGUUGUUCGGAUUUACUGGGCGUAAAGGGCGCGUAGGCGGCGUGACAAGUCACUUGUGAAAUCUCCGGGCUUAACCCGGAGCGGUCAAGUGAUACUGUCGUGCUAGAGUGCGGAAGGGGCUACUGGAAUUCUCGGUGUAGCGGUGAAACGCGUAGAUAUCGAGAGGAACACCUGCGGCGAAGGCGGGUAGCUGGGCCGACACUGACGCUGAUGCGCGAAAGCCAGGGGAGCGAGCGGG
This 253-nucleotide ribosomal RNA is filed under the name uncultured bacterium. RNAcentral describes it as "partial 16S ribosomal RNA". It matches the Rfam family "Bacterial small subunit ribosomal RNA", at positions 524 to 776 of the family's 1533-position model. The record is from RNAcentral.